Molecule: transfer RNA, 72 nt
Filed under: Camelus bactrianus (Bactrian camel)
Lineage: Eukaryota; Metazoa; Chordata; Mammalia; Artiodactyla; Camelidae
Also listed under: 2 other names
Rfam family: tRNA
About the family: Transfer RNA (tRNA) molecules are approximately 80 nucleotides in length. Their secondary structure includes four short double-helical elements and three loops (D, anti-codon, and T loops). Further hydrogen bonds mediate the characteristic L-shaped molecular structure. tRNAs have two regions of fundamental functional importance: the anti-codon, which is responsible for specific mRNA codon recognition, and the 3' end, to which the tRNAs corresponding amino acid is attached (by aminoacyl-tRNA synthetases). tRNAs cope with the degeneracy of the genetic code in two manners: having more than one tRNA (with a specific anti-codon) for a particular amino acid; and 'wobble' base-pairing, i.e. permitting non-standard base-pairing at the 3rd anti-codon position.
Source: Rfam by way of RNAcentral
GAGGGUAUAGCUCAGUGGUAGAGCACAUGUUUUAGCAUGCACGAGGUCCUGGGUUCAAUCCCAGUACCUCUG